RNAcentral lists this ribosomal RNA (788 nucleotides) under uncultured Pseudomonadota bacterium. Its description in RNAcentral is "bacterial SSU rRNA". It matches the Rfam family "Bacterial small subunit ribosomal RNA", at positions 88 to 914 of the family's 1533-position model. The record is from RNAcentral. Lineage: Bacteria; Pseudomonadati; Pseudomonadota.
AAUGUCAGUGGCAGACGGGUGCGUAAUACAUGGGAAUCUUCCCCGAAGUACGGAACAACAGUUGGAAACGACUGCUAAUACCGUAUGUGAUCUCCGGAUCAAAGAUUUAUCGCUUCGGGACGAGCCCAUGUCUGAUUAGCUAGUUGGUGAGGUAAUGGCUCACCAAGGCAACGAUCAGUAGCUGGUCUGAGAGGACGAUCAGCCACACUGGGACUGAGACACGGCCCAGACUCCUACGGGAGGCAGCAGUAGGGAAUAUUGGACAAUGGAGGAAACUCUGAUCCAGCCAUGCCGCGUGAGUGAUGAAGGCCUUCGGGUUGUAAAGCUCUUUGAGCAGGGACAAUAAUGAUGGUACCUGCAGAACAAGCCCCGGCUAACUCUGUGCCAGCAGCCGCGGUAAGACAGAGGGGGCUAGCGUUGUUCGGAAUUACUGGGCGUAAAACGCUUGUAGGCGGCUUUCCAAGUCGGGGGUGAAAUCCCAGAGCUUAACUCUGGAAUUGCCUUCGAUACUAGAGAGCUUGAAGAUGGCAGAGGAUAAUGGAAUUCUUAGUGUAGGAGUGAAAUCCGUAGAUAUUAAGAGGAACACCAGUGGCGAAGGCGGUUAUCUGGGCCAUUCUUGACGCUGAGAAGCGAAAGUGUGGGGAUCAAACAGGAUUAGAUACCCUGGUAGUCCACACUGUAAACGAUGGAUGUUAGAUGUUGGGGGUUUACCCUCAGUAUUGAAGCUAACGCGUUAAACAUCCCGCCUGGGGAGUACGGUCGCAAGAUUAAAACUCAAAGGAAUUGAC